Talpa occidentalis (Iberian mole) is the source of this 484-nucleotide long non-coding RNA. RefSeq lists it as uncharacterized. Lineage: Eukaryota; Metazoa; Chordata; Mammalia; Eulipotyphla; Talpidae. The record is from RefSeq and is a predicted model, not a curated record. The transcript has 4 exons.
CUGCCACCGCCUCAUCACGGCACAGUUCAUGAGACUGGAACUCUAGGGGACAGACCCCAGAAUCCCAAGUGGCUGGAGCACUGGGGGACACCCGGAGAGAGCUCUCACUGGACCAAGUCCUCCAGGAACGAGAUGAAGCCAUUGCCAAGAAACGAGCAGUGGAGGCUGAGCUGGAGACCUGCAGAGCCAAGUUGCGAGCUGUGGAGGCCCAGCUGCUGGAGGUCUUGGAGGAGAAACUGAGACUGAGGCAGGAGGUGGAGGCCUGGGAGGAAGACAUGCAGCAGCUGGUGAGGCGGCAGGUGGACAGUCAGCUUCAAAGAGAGUCCAGGAGCAGUAUGAGAGCCCCCGUGAACCCCGGAGCUGCCAGGGACCCCUGGUAUCGAUUCUCCCAGGGUCACUGGCGGUGACAGAGCUUAGCCCAGGACCUUGGGAGCAGUGUCUUUAUUCAUUAAAGCAGGAGGUGUGACAACCUCUGCAGCCUUGU